AGUGAACGCUGGCGGUAGGCCUAACACAUGCAAGUCGAACGGCAGCACAGUAAGAGCUUGCUCUUACGGGUGGCGAGUGGCGGACGGGUGAGGAAUACAUCGGAAUCUACUUUUUCGUGGGGGAUAACGUAGGGAAACUUACGCUAAUACCGCAUACGACCUACGUGUGAAAGCAGGGGAUCUUCGGACCUUGCGCGAUUGAAUGAGCCGAUGUCGGAUUAGCUAGUUGGCGGGGUAAUGGCCCACCAAGGCGACGAUCCGUAGCUGGUCUGAGAGGAUGAUCAGCCACACGGGAACUGAGACACGGUCAAGACUCCUACGGGAGGCAGCAGUGGGGAAUAUUGGACAAUGGGCGCAAGCCUGAUCCAGCCAGACCGCGUGGGUGAAGAAGGCCUUGGGGUUGUAAAGCCCUUUUGUUGGGAAAGAAAAGCAGCAGGUUAAUACCCCGCUGUUCUGACGGUACCCAAAGAAUAAGCACCGGCUAACUUCGUG
RNAcentral lists this ribosomal RNA (492 nucleotides) under uncultured bacterium. RNAcentral describes it as "partial 16S ribosomal RNA". It matches the Rfam family "Bacterial small subunit ribosomal RNA", at positions 29 to 507 of the family's 1533-position model. The record is from RNAcentral.